Molecule: non-coding RNA, 766 nt
Filed under: Oryza sativa Japonica Group (Japanese rice)
Lineage: Eukaryota; Viridiplantae; Streptophyta; Magnoliopsida; Poales; Poaceae
Source: RNAcentral
AAGAGAUGAAAUCGAAUCAAGAAGAGAGAGAGAAAAACAAACAAAAAAUGUUUUGCGUGCAUAUCUAGAAGAUAAUGAAGUGACAUGUCCUUGCUAUCUCGAUCUCUCUGUCUCUGCACAAAAAAAAGAAAGAAAUAAAGAAAAGCCACGCGUGUCGGCGCGGGUUUCCACCAAGAAAUUCAGGGAAACGAGAUCAAAUCAAAUCAAACAAAUUAAAAGAUGGCUCCUCUCCGGAGAUGAGAGAUCGACGCGAGAUCGGGGCGGGGGAUGCGGGAGGGAGUGAUGAGAGAUGCUGACAGAAAGAGGAGCGAGCACGCGGCGGGGGCAGGCAUCCCGCCGAUGGCUAGCCGCCGCGCCGUGUGCUCACUCUCUUCUGUCAACAAUCUCGCCUUUCAUAUGCUCGAUCCCGCCCCGCCCCAAGAUCGAUCAACAAACCUGCACUGCACCCACGUAGUAGUAAACAAGAAGCAUCACGCAGGGGAAAAAAGAAGAAAAAAGAUCGGUUCUUUGCUUCUCGGAUCCGGUGAGAGAGAGAGACCGAUCGACGACGGUGGCCGUACUGGAGCUAGGCAGCAGCUGCAGGGAGAUAGAGAGAGAGGGUACAGGAUUAUUACAGGAGAAAAAAAGGAGGAGUUCUUGGUGUUUGGGGUGCACUGAAUGUGAAUGUUGGUGUGGGGUGCUGUGCCUAAUAUAAGCUCACCUCUUAAACUCGAUCUCUCGAUCAGGUUCGGCUCACCGGGCUCCACUGACACUCAAGCUAGAGAGG